Etheostoma cragini (Arkansas darter) is the source of this 129-nucleotide long non-coding RNA. RefSeq lists it as uncharacterized. The record is from RefSeq and is a predicted model, not a curated record. NCBI's taxonomy places the organism in Eukaryota, Metazoa, Chordata, Actinopteri, Perciformes, Percidae. The transcript has 3 exons.
GAUGGGUGGCGUGGGGUCGGGCCAGCUCAGCUGCAUCUUUGUCCAAUCGUGUCCCGCUGUCUCUCCUACCUACACCGGCCCCGCACCCUGUCCCUUCUCCCCUUUCUACAUGUUGCUCAGUGCUCCUGC